GAUGAACGCUGGCGGCGUGCUUAACACAUGCAAGUCGAGCGAAGCACCUUGACGGAUUUCUUCGGAUUGAAGCCUUGGUGACUGAGCGGCGGACGGGUGAGUAACGCGUGGGUAACCUGCCUCAUACAGGGGGAUAACAGUUGGAAACGGCUGCUAAUACCGCAUAAGCGCACAGUACCGCAUGGUACGGUGUGAAAAACUCCGGUGGUAUGAGAUGGACCCGCGUCUGAUUAGGUAGUUGGUGGGGUAACGGCCUACCAAGCCGACGAUCAGUAGCCGACCUGAGAGGGUGACCGGCCACAUUGGGACUGAGACACGGCCCAAACUCCUACGGGAGGCAGCAGUGGGGAAUAUUGCACAAUGGGGGAAACCCUGAUGCAGCGACGCCGCGUGAGCGAUGAAGUAUUUCGGUAUGUAAAGCUCUAUCAGCAGGGAAGAAAAUGACGGUACCUGACUAAGAAGCCCCGGCUAACUACGUGCCAGCAGCCGCGGUAAUACGUAGGGGGCAAGCGUUAUCCGGAUUUACUGGGUGUAAAGGGAGCGUAGACGGCAUGGCAAGCCAGAUGUGAAAGCCCGGGGCUCAACCCCGGGACUGCAUUUGGAACUGUCAGGCUAGAGUGUCGGAGAGGAAAGCGGAAUUCCUAGUGUAGCGGUGAAAUGCGUAGAUAUUAAGAGGAACACCAGUGGCGAAGGCGGCUUUCUGGACGAUGACUGACGUUGAGGCUCGAAAGCGUGGGGAGCAAACAAAAUUAGAUCCCCUGGUAGUCCACGCCGUAAACGAUGAAAAGGGGGUCGGGUGGCAAAGCCAUUCGGUGCCGCAGCAAACGCAAUAAGUAUUCCACCUGGGGAGUACGUUCGCAAGAAUGAAACUCAAAGGAAAUGACGGGGACCCGCCCGAGCGGUGGAGCAUGUGGUUUAAUUCGAAGCAACGCGAAGAACCUUACCUGGUCUUGACAUCCCUCUGACCGCUCUUUAAUCGGAGCUUUCCUUCGGGACAGAGGAGACAGGUGGUGCAUGGUUGUCGUCAGCUCGUGUCGUGAGAUGUUGGGUUAAGUCCCGCAACGAGCGCAACCCCUAUCUUUAGUAGCCAGCAUCUAAGGUGGGCACUCUAGAGAGACUGCCAGGGAUAACCUGGAGGAAGGUGGGGAGGACGUCAAAUCAUCAUGCCCCCUAUGACCAGGGCUACACACGUGCUACAAUGGCGUAAACAAAGGGAAGCGAGCCCGCGAGGGGGAGCAAAUCUCAAAAAUAACGUCUCAGUUCGGAUUGUAGUCUGCAACUCGACUACAUGAAGCUGGAAUCGCUAGUAAUCGCGAAUCAGAAUGUCGCGCCGAAAAAGGUCCCGGGUCUUGC
This 1353-nucleotide ribosomal RNA is filed under the name uncultured bacterium. RNAcentral's name for it is "bacterial SSU rRNA". It matches the Rfam family "Bacterial small subunit ribosomal RNA", at positions 28 to 1384 of the family's 1533-position model. The record is from RNAcentral.